RNAcentral lists this ribosomal RNA (658 nucleotides) under Trapeliopsis flexuosa. RNAcentral's name for it is "partial small subunit ribosomal RNA". It matches the Rfam family "Bacterial small subunit ribosomal RNA", at positions 498 to 1218 of the family's 1533-position model. Lineage: Eukaryota; Fungi; Ascomycota; Lecanoromycetes; Trapeliales; Trapeliaceae. The record is from RNAcentral.
AAAUCACGUGCCAGCAGUCGCGGUAAUACGUGGAAGACUAGUGUUAUUCAUCUUUAAUAGGUUUAAAGGGUACUUAGACGAUUGAUUAAGCCUCANGUGGUACUAAUCAAAUAGAGUUUUAUACAAGAAGGGGAGUACUAAAGAGUGUAGAGAUGAAAUUCUGUCAUACCUGACUUGGAACAGACAAAGGCGAAAGCAACCUUUUAUGUAAAAACUGACNUUGAAAGACNAAGGCUUANGACACCAACNGGAUUAGAUACCCUANCAGUCUAANCANACAAUGAUGAAUGUCAUANAUUAGAAUUAUAAUUUUGUCUAUAAAUGAAAGUGUAAGCAUUCCACCUCAAGAGUAAUGNGGCAACNCANGAACUGAAAUCAUUANACCGUUUCUGAAACCAGUAGUGAAGUAUGUUGUUUAAUUUGUCGGUCCGCAAAACACCUUACCACAAUUUGAAUAGUUUUAGUUUAAACAAUUUGUUUAAAUUAAUAUUACAAGCGUUGCACGGNUGUUUUCAGUUANUGUCGUGAGAUUUUGGUUAGUUCCAUAAAAUUAACGUANACCCUUACUUUAUUUAUCAAUAUAAAGUANUUCUCCGUUAUAUUGNAUAUGAUAAAAGGGAAUAAGACAAGUCCAUCUGGCCUUAAUAUUGUGGGUAUA